This 495-nucleotide ribosomal RNA is filed under the name uncultured bacterium. Its description in RNAcentral is "partial 16S ribosomal RNA". It matches the Rfam family "Bacterial small subunit ribosomal RNA", at positions 28 to 507 of the family's 1533-position model. The record is from RNAcentral.
GACGAACGCUGGCGGCGUGCCUAAUACAUGCAAGUAGAACGCUGAAGGAGGAGCUUGCUCUUCUGGAUGAGUUGCGAACGGGUGAGUAACGCGUAGGUAACCUGCCUGGUAGCGGGGGAUAACUAUUGGAAACGAUAGCUAAUACCGCAUAACAGUAGAUGUUGCAUGACAUUUGCUUAAAAGGUGCAAUUGCAUCACUACCAGAUGGACCUGCGUUGUAUUAGCUAGUUGGUGGGGUAACGGCUCACCAAGGCGACGAUACAUAGCCGACCUGAGAGGGUGAUCGGCCACACUGGGACUGAGACACGGCCCAGACUCCUACGGGAGGCAGCAGUAGGGAAUCUUCGGCAAUGGACGGAAGUCUGACCGAGCAACGCCGCGUGAGUUAAGAAGGUUUUCGGAUCGUAAAGCUCUGUUGUAAGAGAAGAACGAGUGUGAGAGUGGAAAGUUCACACUGUGACGGUAGCUUACCAGAAAGGGACGGCUAACUACGUG